AUUAGAUUUUUGCCUCAUUUGUUAACCCUAAAAUUUUCCCCAUCUCUCUCUCUUCUCCCCUUUCUGUCCAGCCGCCGCCCACUCGCCGCCACCUCUGCCACCGUCCGCCGCCACAGCGGUAGGUCCAAAUACCCCCAAAAUUUUAUCAUGUAAUCUCCAACACCUCCUCUUUCCACUUCAUCAAACCAAAUCCUUCAAAACCCCCUUGAACUCCAUGAAUUUUAGAUCUAGAAAAACCCUAGCCACCACUUUUUACAUAAAUUCGGGAUGAUUGAGCCCUUCUUUCCAGCUAAUUUUCACAUGAAUGGGUAUAACUUGAUGGGGCUACUACUUGGCAUUGGUUUCAUGCCAAAAAUUCGGCAACCACCACUGACCGCCCAACACCGCCGCUGCCCGCCACCUCUUCCGCCGUCACUGCCACCACCUCACUGCCCGCAACCACCACCAGCCCACUGACCCCUCUAUUAUUAUUUUUUUAGCCUAGUUUUGACCCAAGAAAAUUUGUUUCCUCUUGGUAUGAUGCUGGGUUCAUUGAGUUCAGCGUAUUCCAAAAGGAAACGAACGUUCCAAGGUCGGAAAGCUACCUUUUGGCGUCCUCAGCAUCGUCUCGUUGCUCGAUUCGACGCCGGAUGUCCCAGAGCUUGGUAAUGCUUCAUCCUUUGUAAUAGCAAUCAGUGAAGGUUUGAGCAUGUUUAUAUUAUUGAGCAUCUUUAAAGGAGUUUUCCAGAAGUUUCAGUUUUGAAUCCGGCUUGGGGAUCAUAGUGUUAAAUCCAUGACUUUGUUGCUCUGUUUUUCCUAUGUAGUAUUUUUUCCAUCUUUUAAGUAGUAUUUCAAUAUAAUCUUGGCAAUAUUUUAGAAAAGGAAAUAGUAUGUUAAAGAUUUAAUGAAGACUUUGGAGUGGACAGAAGCUAUGGAGUUUGUGGAAAAGAGUCUUGUUUGGCUUAAGAUCUCUGCCAUUUUGCUUGCCGGAAGUUGGAAUUAAUAUCAUCAAAGGAUCACAUAAUGAUCUAGUUUUAUUAUUCCCCUGUUGUAGCAAUGUUGUUUUGGCUUUAGUGGAUUUCUCAUUACCCUAUUGUUCGUUCUAGAUUUCAUGUUUCUUUUACUAGUCCCCUUUAGUACUUACUUUAGUUAGUGAAAGCUGAAAUUUUUUUUUUCAA
Nicotiana attenuata is the source of this 1157-nucleotide long non-coding RNA. RefSeq lists it as uncharacterized. Lineage: Eukaryota; Viridiplantae; Streptophyta; Magnoliopsida; Solanales; Solanaceae. The record is from RefSeq and is a predicted model, not a curated record. The transcript is spliced from 2 exons.